AGCGAACGCUGGCGGCAGGCCUAACACAUGCAAGUCGAACGAACCUUUCGGGGUUAGUGGCGGACGGGUGAGUAACACGUGGGAACGUGCCUUUAGGUUCGGAAUAACUAUGGGAAACGUGUGCUAAUACCGAAUGUGCCCUUCGGGGGAAAGAUUAAUCGCCUUUAGAGCGGCCCGCGUCUGAUUAGCUAGUUGGUUGAGGUAAUGGCUCACCAAGGCGACGAUCAGUAGCUGGUCUGAGAGGAGGAUCCGCCACAUUGGGACUGAGACACGGCCCAAACUCCUACGGGAAGCAGCAGUGGGUGAUCUUGCGCAAUGGGCGAAAGCCUGACGCAGCCAUGCCGCGUGAAUGAUGAAGGUCUUAGGAUUGUAAAAUUCUUUCACCGGUGACGAUCAUGACGGUACCCGGAGAAGAAGCCCCGGCUAACUUCGUG
This 434-nucleotide ribosomal RNA is filed under the name uncultured bacterium. RNAcentral describes it as "partial 16S ribosomal RNA". It matches the Rfam family "Bacterial small subunit ribosomal RNA", at positions 29 to 507 of the family's 1533-position model. The record is from RNAcentral.